This 259-nucleotide ribosomal RNA is filed under the name uncultured bacterium. RNAcentral's name for it is "partial 16S ribosomal RNA". It matches the Rfam family "Bacterial small subunit ribosomal RNA", at positions 30 to 285 of the family's 1533-position model. The record is from RNAcentral.
AUUGAACGCUGGCGGCAGGCCUAACACAUGCAAGUCGAGCGGUAACAGGGAUAGCUUGCUAUCUGCUGACGAGCGGCGGACGGGUGCGUAACACGUAGGAAUCUACCCAGUAGCGGGGGAUAGCCCGGAGAAAUCCGGAUUAAUACCGCAUACGCCCUACGGGGGAAAGCAGGGGAUCUUCGGACCUUGCACUAUUGGAUGAGCCUGCGUCGGAUUAGCUAGUUGGUGGGGUAAAGGCCUACCAAGGCGACGAUCCGUA